Molecule: ribosomal RNA, 450 nt
Filed under: uncultured organism
Description: partial 16S ribosomal RNA
Rfam family: Bacterial small subunit ribosomal RNA
Source: RNAcentral
CACUCCUACGGGAGGCAGCAGUGGGGAAUAUUGGACAAUGGGCGCAAGCCUGAUCCAGCCAUGCCGCGUGAGUGAUGAAGGCCCUAGGGUUGUAAAGCUCUUUCACCGGUGAAGAUAAUGACGGUAACCGGAGAAGAAGCCCCGGCUAACUUCGUGCCAGCAGCCGCGGUAAUACGAAGGGGGCUAGCGUUGUUCGGAUUUACUGGGCGUAAAGCGCACGUAGGCGGACUAUUAAGUCAGGGGUGAAAUCCCGGGGCUCAACCCCGGAACUGCCUUUGAUACUGGUAGUCUUGAGUUCGAGGGAGGUGAGUGGAAUUCCGAGUGUAGAGGUGAAAUUCGUAGAUAUUCGGAGGAACACCAGUGGCGAAGGCGGCUCACUGGCUCGAUACUGACGCUGAGGUGCGAAAGCGUGGGGAGCAAACAGGAUUAGAUACCCGUGUAGUCCCAUGA